UACGUAGGGUGCAAGCGUUAAUCGGAAUUACUGGGCGUAAAGCGUGCGCAGGCGGCUUUGCAAGACAGAUGUGAAAUCCCCGGGCUUAACCUGGGAACUGCAUUUGUGACUGCAUGGCUGGAGUGCGGCAGAGGGGGAUGGAAUUCCGCGUGUAGCAGUGAAAUGCGUAGAUAUGCGGAGGAACACCGAUGGCGAAGGCAAUCCCCUGGGCCUGCACUGAGGCUCAUGCACGAAAGCGUGGGGAGCAAACAGG
This 253-nucleotide ribosomal RNA is filed under the name uncultured bacterium. Its description in RNAcentral is "partial 16S ribosomal RNA". It matches the Rfam family "Bacterial small subunit ribosomal RNA", at positions 524 to 776 of the family's 1533-position model. The record is from RNAcentral.